UACGAAGGGGGCUAGCGUUGUUCGGAAUUACUGGGCGUAAAGCGCACGUAGGCGGAUCAUUUAGUCAGGGGUGAAAUCCCGGGGCUCAACCUCGGAACUGCCUUCGAUACUGAGAGUCUCGAGUCCGGGAGAGGUGAGUGGAACUGCGAGUGUAGAGGUGAAAUUCGUAGAUAUUAGGAAGAACACCAGUGGCGAAGGCGGCUCACUGGCUCGGUACUGACGCUGAGGCGCGAAAGCGUGGGGAGCAAACAGG
This 253-nucleotide ribosomal RNA is filed under the name uncultured bacterium. Its description in RNAcentral is "partial 16S ribosomal RNA". It matches the Rfam family "Bacterial small subunit ribosomal RNA", at positions 524 to 776 of the family's 1533-position model. The record is from RNAcentral.